Molecule: unclassified non-coding RNA, 5093 nt
Filed under: Hevea brasiliensis (rubber tree)
Lineage: Eukaryota; Viridiplantae; Streptophyta; Magnoliopsida; Malpighiales; Euphorbiaceae
Source: RNAcentral
ACAUUUUCCUACUUAAUACUUUUUACUUAAACCCAAAAAUUAAAAUGUCAAAUGCAGAGUGAUUCAGUGCCCUGCUUUCCUCAUGAGCGUUAAUUCUAUUAAAGUUGAACCUUACAUCUGAGUCACCAAGCGAAAUACCUGACAACAGUUUCGGCAACCAGUACUAGUAAGAAGCCUCAUAUAAAUAGAUUCCUAUUCCUUGUGGCUAUUAAAAUAGCAAAUUCAACAAAGAAUUAUGCCAACUAAUCUAUUUAAAGAUUACAUUCAUCAUAUCAACGUUCUGCUGGCUCUUGAACAGGAAAUGUUGGAAGCAAGUUCAAAUUUCAUGAUAUUUUUCAUCCUUUGAGAGUAAGCCUACCACUAUUGAGACUGGAUGCAUCUGGUGAUACAUUUCCUGCUGCCAUUUUAUGAAGAAGUUCGAUUACUUUUGAAGUCUCAUUAUUUUGAAAGAAACCUCAAAUAAGUGGAGUAAUUUGCUGCUGUCGCCCCUGUCAAAACCAUGCGUCAAAGUACUUAGAAUCCACCCAAAUGAAUUAAAGCACAUGAUUAGUGGUUUAAAUAUAUAAUGUGUAAUUCCAGUCAAUGAUCACUGCAAUCCCAAACACAAUGACUGCAGAACAGUUUACAUAAACCGGAUACAAGUUCAAGAACUAUACGCAAGAACACAGUAUAAAUAUUAUUGCAAGCUGUGACUAAUUUGUUGCAAGGAAAUCAAAACUUAUUUUGUUUAUUACAGCAUACCAAUAAGAAUGAGAAUUUUCAUGUCUUAAUUUAUCCAAGAAAGAAUUUUAAUAUCUUACAUGAAGCAUAACACGCAUUGAUACCUUAAUAGCUUCAAUGCUCUUCCUUUGUCCAAACGGCCCCUCUAAACCCAAUAUCUUCAACGGGGAAAGAUGCUAAAUCUGGACACCAACUAGCAUUCACAAUCCUCAAAGAUGGCAUCACUUGUUGUACGACUUGCCAGUCCAUUUCCAACUCUGAGAGAGAUUCCAGCAACAACGCCUCAAUUUUCCACACUGUGUUAUUCUCCCCCCAAAAGCUUUGAUGAAUUUUUGCAAGAUUUCCUGAAGAGAUUGAAAGAUAUCUUAACAUAGGAAGUGAGAAGGGAUUGAGCCAGACAGGACUCAUCUUGCCUGGAAAAUAUUUGAGAGAGAGCUCAUGGAGGGAAGGUGGAGGAUAGAGUCUAUCAAGUUUGUCAAUGAGGUCAAUCCCAUGGCUAUCAAAGCAACUUAUAGUGAGGAGUUGAAGUUCUUGGAGGUUUACUAAUGCAUUGACCUCAUUAUCUUCAAUCUCAUCACUCCGAGUCAGAUGCAAACCAAGUGUCCUGAGUCGAGUCAAAUUUCUCAGUUCAGCAAUCCGACAGCCAUCUAAUUGGUUUGUUCUAGCAGGUCUAAACCCCAACAAAACUUCAAGGUUUGAAAGCCUUCCCAAGCCUUUUGGCAAGUACUCAAGUGAGCCACAGUGGCUUACAUCUAAGACUCUGAGCUUCUUAAAGGUCAUGAGAUAAGGAGGCAUCAUUUUGAGAUUCUGACAAUAGCUCACAUCCAAAACCUGAAGGUUGUUAAGUCUCUCUAGUGAAGGAGGGAGUUGGAUCAACGGAUGGGUAUUGCUUAAGCUAAGGCAUGUUAAAUGCUGAAGGCAACCAAUCUUAUGUAGGAGAACUGUGAGAGGCACUUCAAAGAUAGACUUGCAAAGAUCUAAAACUCUCAGGUAUCUACACUCAUUAAACUUGUUUGCAACGCUUGAUACAAUCUUGUUCACUUCACCAGUCUUGGUUGUGGACAACAAUGCUCGUAACUUUCGAUUGGCAGCCAGUUUCUUAUGAUCCAUAUUGCUAUCAAUCCCCAGAUGACGACAGCCUAUGCCAUUAAGUCUAAAGAAUGCAUCAUCUUCAGCCAUCUUGAUCACCAAAUCACGAACCAUAUCAUGAAUCUUGCAAGUGUAGAUAAUUCCAUUGUAAGUCUUGUCAACUACUUCCACCAAACAUCGAUUUGUUAACCCCGAGAAACAACCCUCCCCAGCUUCAAUUGCUGAUCUGCCAUUUCUCACGGGGACAAAUCCUUCUCCCAUCCACCAAUGAACUAACUGUUCCUUUGCUAUCACACAAUCCUCUGGGUAAAGAGAGAAACUGAGAAAACAAGACUUCAGGUGAGUAGGGAGCUCAUCGUAGCUCAAUUGUAAAGAAGCCAUCACAGAGUCAUCAUUUUCUGCCAAUUCAUCCCGAAAGUUCUUUGCAAUUCGCCUCCACUCAUUGUAAUGUGAUUUAUAAAGCAAAAGUCCUCCAAUUGCUUUAAUGGCCAAAGGAAGACCCUUACAUUUAGAUACAAUCUCCUUUCCAACCUGUUCUAGCUCAGGAUACCUGCAGUCACCUCCACUUGCUGCGAAAGCAAUCUUCCGAAAUAGCAACCAGCUAUCAUCCUCACUAAGGAACUUAGGUCUAUGGAUUCUUGCUUCGCUCACUCCCAUCAUUAUUGCAACUUCCUUGAUCCUUGUGGUGAUGAUAAUACAGCUUCCGUUUCCCUUGGGCAAGCCCUCAAAGAUUCUACGCCACCAAUUGACAUCAGAGUUCCAUACAUCAUCCAUAACAAUCAAGAACCUUUUACCUAAAAGAUAUUGGUUUAUUUUCUUCAACAAUUCACCUCGGUCAUCUCCUACGCUUGCAUCUCCCAAGUUCCUCAGCAUGCUUCUCAUGAUUUGUGCUUCAUCAAGUGUCUGAGAGACAGACACCCACAUUCUUCUUUCAAAAUGGUCUUCCAUUUCUCUGUCAUUAAAGACCUUUUGAGCAAUUGUGGUCUUGCCCAAUCCGCCCAUACCAACAACACCAAUUGAUAAUAUGCCAUGAUCUGCUUCAAAAAGCCAAUCCUUCAUCUUUUUUGUGUCACCUUCUAAUCCAACCACUUGAGUAUGAUCAUAUACAGGAGAGCUCCAUCUUGGGUCAUUGUGCACAUCAAUUCUAGCCAUUCCGUUGCUAGUUGACAGACCAAGAUAUGAAAGGUCUUGCUUAAUUUUAGUGAUAUUCUCAUUUAUUUCCCUAAGUCGCUUUCCAGUUUUAUAUUGAAACUGAAGUUUUGGAGGAUGGAUACAACGUAGCCAGCCAUUAGAAAAUGAGUCAUCUCUUGAUUGAAGUUGGCAGUCUGCUAGUAUGUCUUCAGCUUCAUAUAUCAACUCUCGUAAAUUGCCCAUUAUAACGUGCAGAGUUUGUUCCUUCCUUUUUCGUUUGUCUGCAUCUUUGAGGACACUUUGCAUUAAUUCGAGCUCCUUCUGCAAGUUCUCAAAUUGAUCCCUAAAUUCAUUCACUAUGCGGCCCUCCUCUACUAGAGUAUCCAACAGCCUCUCCAAGAAGACACUGACUACAGCAUCCACCAUAUCUUUGACCUAAAACUUUAAAACAGAUAAAUAUUCUAGUAAACAAUUGAUUUCAGGGAUGGAAGAUCAGAGAUCUUAGCUUCAAUCAUCAAGUACUCUUACUGGUUGAAACUUGCACUAGAUGUGCAAAAUAAAAAAACUGACUUCUACACAAAACAUCAGCUACUUUCUGCAGUUAAGAACUUGUAAAUAAACCAUAAUGCUUCUUAGCCAAUAUGAGUAGUCAUAAAUUCAUUCUGUCAUGCAUUCAUACUAAAAAUCCAAAUGAUGGAAAGAUGACUUAAGCAUAAAGUGUCAAGUGCUCAUUUUGGUUGAGAAAUUAUAGUAAGUAAUGAAGAGGAAGUUAAUUAAACCAUUUAUGUCAGAAUGCAUGGGCUUCUUGGAGAGCUACUACAGGAACCAAUUUGAUACAGACCUUUAACCUAAUUCAACAUGGAGUUGGGAAAUUCAACCCAACCAAAUUCUGUAUCCUGUAUGAAUGUGUGGUUUUCAUGACAGUUGCCUUUUUUUUGUGAGAUCAGUUGUACUUAUAAGUUUAAGAUUUGAGAGAGAUACUCUUUCCUGUUGGAUUAAUCUUUUUCAUGUUUACUAAACUUGUCAGUAAAUUUCAGCAGUCACCAAAUUUCAAUCUAUUAGCAAAAUUACUAAACUUCAAUGUUGUUUCAAUAAGGUCAUUAUGACCAUAUUUUUAUAGAGGUUUAAGCAAAACUUUUAUGCAUCGAGUAAGAAAAUUCUUACAGCAUAUUUUUAAUUGUAUAACUACAUUAAAAAAAUUUCUUGUUUUCAUGUCAAAAUUUCUAACUGAAAAUCUAGAGAGGUAAAAAAAAACUAGCAAUUGUAACCUAAUUGAAUAAAAUUAAAGUUUAGUAAUUUUUCUAAUACAAAUUAAAGUUUAUUAACUGUUAAAAAAAAAAAGAGCGAUAAAGUUCAAUGGUCAUGGGUGAAAUUAUGUCACAUAAAUUUAUAUGCUGUAGACUUUUCUUUUCUGUUUCUGUUGUUAUUUGUGUUGCUCCCAAGUCCUAAACAAACAAGAGUUUGCCGUCACAAAAUCAGGGAAUUAAAAAACUCAAAUCAGUUAGCCUACUCUUUUUAACUACAACCUAAACCUCAUCAGCUUAAAGUGCAAGUGUGAUACUGAUUCAUCUGAUUUCUUACAUAAGUUGCUUUUAUACAAGGACAGUACAUUGGAUAGGAGCAGGAAACUCCAGCUAAAAUCAGACGCAACGCAUAAACAAGAAACAGGACCAAAACCAGCUACAGCGACAAAGAAAGCCCAAUCAAACAAAACUAGCUGAAAGCUAAGGUCUCAUGAAAGAAUACCCAUAAAAUAAUUGUCUCAAAAAGUGCAGAGAAGGGAACUUACACUGUAAUGAUGGCUGGGUUCCUUUAAAUUUUCCUGCAGAAAUAGGGGAGCAUAAACCUCAUUGAUGGAAUGAGAAUGGGAGGAAAGCAACUCUUUUUCUUUGAGGGCUUCUGUAGCCUGGAUUUACUAAAGUGCCCUUGUGAUGAGAAAGCAUCUCAAGUCAACAUUUCUCGUCAACGCCACCGUGGGCAUGGCCCGUGAGUGAGGUCCGGUCUUCCUUCUCCACUCGAACACGGUUUCGGCGAAAGUACAUUGACAUGGCGUCCAAUAGCACGCGGUUUUCGCUACUCCACAGUGCAGUAGCCUCGAAAACACCACUAAAGGGUUUCCAUAUCCUUCAACUACAAUUUACAUUUUGUGCUGA